GCCGUGGUGACAGAGUGGUUAUCGUGCUGGUCUCGAAAACCAGUGGCCUUUGUGCCUCGAGGGUUCGAAUCCCUCCCGCGGCGCCA
RNAcentral lists this transfer RNA (86 nucleotides) under Candidatus Bathyarchaeota archaeon. RNAcentral's name for it is "tRNA-Ser". It matches the Rfam family "tRNA". Rfam says of the family: Transfer RNA (tRNA) molecules are approximately 80 nucleotides in length. Their secondary structure includes four short double-helical elements and three loops (D, anti-codon, and T loops). Further hydrogen bonds mediate the characteristic L-shaped molecular structure. tRNAs have two regions of fundamental functional importance: the anti-codon, which is responsible for specific mRNA codon recognition, and the 3' end, to which the tRNAs corresponding amino acid is attached (by aminoacyl-tRNA synthetases). tRNAs cope with the degeneracy of the genetic code in two manners: having more than one tRNA (with a specific anti-codon) for a particular amino acid; and 'wobble' base-pairing, i.e. permitting non-standard base-pairing at the 3rd anti-codon position. The record is from RNAcentral. Lineage: Archaea; Thermoproteati; Candidatus Bathyarchaeota.